This 301-nucleotide ribosomal RNA is filed under the name uncultured bacterium. RNAcentral's name for it is "partial 16S ribosomal RNA". It matches the Rfam family "Bacterial small subunit ribosomal RNA", at positions 509 to 808 of the family's 1533-position model. The record is from RNAcentral.
CAGUGCCGCGGGAAUACAGAGGGUGCGAGCGUUAAUCGGAUUUACUGGGCGUAAAGCGUGCGUAGGCGGCUUCUUAAGUCGGAUGUGAAAUCCCUGAGCUUAACUUAGGAAUUGCAUUCGAUACUGGGAAGCUAGAGUAUGGGAGAGGAUGGUAGAAUUCCAGGUGUAGCGGUGAAAUGCGUAGAGAUCUGGAGGAAUACCGAUGGCGAAGGCAGCCAUCUGGCCUAAUACUGACGCUGAGGUACGAAAGCAUGGGGAGCAAACAGGAUUAGAUACCCCUGUAGUCCCUGUCUCUUAUACA